CAAGCCAGAAGAGGCGCGUCACCCAGGUAGAGUGUCAGAGGAGCCGUUUUCCACAGACGGCACUGGAGGGGGAGUGACGCCGAGAUACGCUGCAUCGCGGCAUGCGGUAUAUCGACUACAGGGGCUGAAUCCCUUGGGUUGUCACCAUGGUCGCCCUGUUCGGGGCGGUCAACAAGGUGGGGCGCUUCUGGGUGU
RNAcentral lists this non-coding RNA (195 nucleotides) under Serratia odorifera. RNAcentral's name for it is "Lysine sequence". It matches the Rfam family "Lysine riboswitch aptamer". Rfam says of the family: Riboswitches are metabolite binding domains within certain messenger RNAs that serve as precision sensors for their corresponding targets. Allosteric rearrangement of mRNA structure is mediated by ligand binding, and this results in modulation of gene expression. This family includes riboswitches that sense lysine in a number of genes involved in lysine metabolism, including lysC. The record is from RNAcentral. RNAcentral also lists the same sequence under 1 other name. Lineage: Bacteria; Pseudomonadati; Pseudomonadota; Gammaproteobacteria; Enterobacterales; Yersiniaceae.